GAAGGUGUAGCUCAAGUGGUAGAGCGCAUGCUUAGCAUGCACAAGGUCCUGGGUUCAAUCCCCAGUACUUCCU
RNAcentral lists this transfer RNA (73 nucleotides) under Camelus bactrianus (Bactrian camel). It matches the Rfam family "tRNA". Rfam says of the family: Transfer RNA (tRNA) molecules are approximately 80 nucleotides in length. Their secondary structure includes four short double-helical elements and three loops (D, anti-codon, and T loops). Further hydrogen bonds mediate the characteristic L-shaped molecular structure. tRNAs have two regions of fundamental functional importance: the anti-codon, which is responsible for specific mRNA codon recognition, and the 3' end, to which the tRNAs corresponding amino acid is attached (by aminoacyl-tRNA synthetases). tRNAs cope with the degeneracy of the genetic code in two manners: having more than one tRNA (with a specific anti-codon) for a particular amino acid; and 'wobble' base-pairing, i.e. permitting non-standard base-pairing at the 3rd anti-codon position. Lineage: Eukaryota; Metazoa; Chordata; Mammalia; Artiodactyla; Camelidae. RNAcentral also lists the same sequence under 2 other names. The record is from Rfam by way of RNAcentral.